AUUGAGCGCUGGCGGCAUGCCUUACACAUGCAAGUCGAACGGCAGCGGACCUUCGGGUGCCGGCGAGUGGCGAACGGGUGAGUAAUAUAUCGGAACGUACCUUUCAGUGGGGGAUAACGUAGCGAAAGUUACGCUAAUACCGCAUAUUCUGUGAGCAGGAAAGCAGGGGAUCGCAAGACCUUGCGCUGAUUGAGCGGCCGAUAUCAGAUUAGCUAGUUGGUGAGGUAAAGGCUCACCAAGGCGACGAUCUGUAGCGGGUCUGAGAGGAUGAUCCGCCACACUGGAACUGAGACACGGUCCAGACUCCUACGGGAGGCAGCAGUGGGGAAUUUUGGACAAUGGGCGCAAGCCUGAUCCAGCCAUGCCGCGUGAGUGAAGAAGGCCUCGGUUGUAAG
This 395-nucleotide ribosomal RNA is filed under the name uncultured bacterium. Its description in RNAcentral is "bacterial SSU rRNA". It matches the Rfam family "Bacterial small subunit ribosomal RNA", at positions 30 to 429 of the family's 1533-position model. The record is from RNAcentral.